Molecule: ribosomal RNA, 498 nt
Filed under: uncultured bacterium
Lineage: Bacteria
Description: partial 16S ribosomal RNA
Rfam family: Bacterial small subunit ribosomal RNA
Source: RNAcentral
ACUCAAAGGAAUUGACGGGGGCCCGCACAAGCGGUGGAUGAUGUGGUUUAAUUCGAUGCAACGCGAAAAACCUUACCUACCCUUGACAUGCCAGGAACUUCCCAGAAAUGGGAAGGUGCCCGAAAGGGAACCUGGACACAGGUGCUGCAUGGCUGUCGUCAGCUCGUGUCGUGAGAUGUUGGGUUAAGUCCCGCAACGAGCGCAACCCUUGCCAUUAGUUGCUACAUUUAGUUGGGCACUCUAAUGGGACUGCCGGUGACAAACCGGAGGAAGGUGGGGAUGACGUCAAGUCCUCAUGGCCCUUAUGGGUAGGGCUACACACGUCAUACAAUGGUCGGUACAGAGGGUUGCCAACCCGCGAGGGGGAGCCAAUCUCAGAAAGCCGAUCGUAGUCCGGAUAGCAGUCUGCAACUCGACUGCUUGAAGUCGGAAUCGCUAGUAAUCGCGGAUCAGCAUGUCGCGGUGAAUACGUUCCCGGGCCUUGUACACACCGCCCGU